AUUGAACGCUGGCGGAAUGCUUUACACAUGCAAGUCGAACGGCAGCACGGACUUCGGUCUGGUGGCGAGUGGCGAACGGGUGAGUAAUGUAUCGGAACGUGCCCAGUCGUGGGGGAUAACGUAGUGAAAAUUACGCUAAUACCGCAUACGAUCUAUGGAUGAAAGCGGGGGAUCGCAAGACCUCGCGCCAUUGGAGCGGCCGAUAUCAGAUUAGUUAGUUGGUGGGGUAAAGGCCCACAAAGCCAACGAUCGGUAGCUGGUCUGAGAGGACGACCAGCCACACUGGAACUGAGACACGGUCCAGACUCCUACGGGAGGCAGCAGUGGGGAAUUUUGGACAAUGGGUGAAAGCCUGAUCCAGCCAUUCCGCGUGCAGGAUGAAGGCCCUCGGGUUGUAAACUGCUUUUGUACGGAACGAAAAGGUUUCUACUAAUACUAGGAGCUCAUGACGGUACUGUAAGAAUAAGCACCGGCUAACUACGUGCCAGCAGCCGCCGUAA
RNAcentral lists this ribosomal RNA (500 nucleotides) under uncultured bacterium. RNAcentral describes it as "partial 16S ribosomal RNA". It matches the Rfam family "Bacterial small subunit ribosomal RNA", at positions 30 to 523 of the family's 1533-position model. The record is from RNAcentral.